GCAGGGCCAGAGAGUUGCCUGCUGCCACUCAAAGCAAGCAGAGGAGGGGUGGAUUCAGGGGUUAACCCGAUGGGAGGGUGUGUGUGUGUUGUGAAGCGUGUUACCUGAGCCCUUGGCGCGGUUAGGAACAUGUGCGCACAGAACAUUAUAAGGCUCUGCCAUCUACAGAAUACAGAAAUGUGGUCUAUUUGGGAGAAAACAGUCUUGUGCAGAGUGGGCUCCCGUGAAGCUAUAAAGUGAGAUGUUAUCUCGAUGAGCCACUUUUGCCAUCUAGAGAUGUGGUGGCCAGCCAGGCAGAGAGGAAUCCCGCUGAAUGAGUGAAAAGCUAUCCACUGCUGAAAGUACCCAUGCUGGGAGCCAGAUGUCUCUAAUUCUCGGAGCAUGCCGCAUAUUCCAGAACAUCACUGCUCCAUAAAACAUUACUAGAUUCCAUUUGUGUGUCUCGGAACUUCAAAGUUAUUGCACUGAAUAGAAGAGACUCUGUAUGUCCCCAAAGGAUUUGGUUUCUUAAGGAUUUAUCUUGCUACCUGAGGAGUGCCAUUGUCUAGCUCAUUUACUGUUUAUCAUCCUCACCACUCAGCUAUCACAGACUAAAGAAAACAGGCAGAAAUUUUGCAGGGGCCAAGGGGAAACCUGCUAAGAAUUGCUAAGUUAUUCAGGAAUUCACGAAGCUGGUUGUUUCUUCAAUUAGUUUCCCUUCCAUAGUCGCCCACCAAAGGGUGCUUUAGCCUUACAACAACCCUGUGAGGUAGGUUGGACAUGCUAUCCAUGCAUCUGUUCUGUAAGCACUUGCACUUGCUGAGUGUUUUUAAAAAGUGCUUUAAAGCCAUCAAACAAUAUGACGUUGGGCAUCUGAGACAUUUAAGCCGCAGAGGAACAGGCAGUGGCUGUGCUACGUUGCAGCCUCCCUUCCGGUUCUGCCAUUAGACUGAGCAGUCCCACCUCAAGUAGUAGAUCUGGGGUCACCAUCAAGAGGAAGCAGCUCCCAAUUAGUAGAUAGUGCAGGACCCUUUAAGAAGCUGCAAGAAGAAGACAUGCAAAAGUGGAUCCUACCCUAGUGGCCCCUUCACCCAACCUCCUCCUCUCCCUGCCUGCUGCAAGAUGCUCUGCGAGUACAGUAAACUUGCUGCUGCAAGCAGGAACUGUGCAGAAAAGCUGAAGGUCUGUGUGAUCACUGAGCUGGUCAGCUCCAAUGGCUACGCACACCCUGCACUACUCUGUGAUGCAAC
Non-coding RNA from Podarcis muralis (Common wall lizard), 1229 nucleotides. Lineage: Eukaryota; Metazoa; Chordata; Lepidosauria; Squamata; Lacertidae. The record is from RefSeq and is a predicted model, not a curated record.